Long non-coding RNA from Hypanus sabinus (Atlantic stingray), 3220 nucleotides. RefSeq lists it as uncharacterized. The record is from RefSeq and is a predicted model, not a curated record. Lineage: Eukaryota; Metazoa; Chordata; Chondrichthyes; Myliobatiformes; Dasyatidae. The transcript has 3 exons.
GAGUUUUUCCUCUCUCAGGAGCUCUGUGUUUCUGAUAAACCGCUGGAAAUUGACGGGUGUAGAAGUUGAGAGUCCGGUCUCAGCUCUGUCCGUCACUCUGACUUUGUCUCCUCCACUCCUGUCUCUCUGCGCCCUUCUCGGGCAGGAGUAGUGGAAGAGGAUUGGAGGAUGGGUUAUGUUAUGCAGUAACUUGGGAUCGGAGGAAAACCGAACACAGGAAACUACAGAUCGUGGUGAAGGGUCCAGGCCUGAAACGUCGGCUGUUUUCUCGCUGCCUGGCCUGCUGAGUUCCUCCGGCAUUGUGUGUAUCGCUGCAAGGAAAAGCCUGCGAGCUUCAGACUGGUGAGGCUCGUGUCUGGAAGGAGAGAUCCCGUGAUCCAGGGCAGUGGCUACAAUAUUGGCCUGGUGGUAGGAGACAAAGUCAUCGUUUCGACUGGAGACCUGUGAUCAAAAGUGUGACUCAGGGAUCGAGUCAAGUCUGCUGCGGCAAUUUAUUUAUUAAAGACUCGGCUGACAAUAUCAAUGCCCGGAUCUGCAAAUUUACCGAUGCCACUAAAGUUGGUGAUAUCGUGGAUUGUGGAAAAAAAUGUAACCAGCAAUACAACAGGACGGUGAUGAAUGAGUUUUCAUCAUACGUUAAUGCGGAAGAGUGAACAGUAAACGGUUAAUAUUACUGGGAUUGCCCCUCAUUGCCCGGUUUAUACUUGGUGUUUAGUUCAGAGUUUUUACACCUGUGCGAGAACACAACAGAGUCAGAAAGGAGAGUGCGAGGGAAAUCCGUGCCUUCACCCAGCUCAGGCUACCCUGCAUAGACUCGACGCUGCCUCGCCUGCGAAGUAUUUUCGGCAGUUUCAGCUUUUAGUUCAGGAACAAAGAAGGACUAUCCAGCUUUUCCAGCUUGCUCCGCCAGUCAGUCCGAACCUGCCUGGAUGUCUCGAAAUUUCAGUAUGGAUCCCCCUUCACCAUUCCUCUUCUCCUGUUCCCUCUCUUACCGUAUCUCCUUGCUUGCCCAUCGCCUCCCUCUGGUUCUCCUCCUCCCUUUGCUUUCUUUCAUGUCCAUCUGUCCACUCCUAUCAGACUCCCUCUUUUCUUUUGCCAAACAACUUCCCAACUGUUUGCUUCACCCCAGCCCCUGCCGGUUUCACCAAUCGCCUUGCUUCUCCUUUUCCUCUCUCCACCUUCUAAUUCUACCACUCAUCUUUUUUUGUCUCCUCCAGUCUUGCUGAAGGGUCUCGGCCCGAAUCCUCGACUGUUCUCUUUUCCAUUGAUGCUGCCUGGCCUGCUGAGUUCGUCAAGAACUUUGUGAGUGUUGAUCAGUGUCUUCUAUCUCACAUACGAAACCAGUGAAUCUGCUUCCUCAUAACAUCUCCUCAAAUCUUUGAUUAAGUAUGUAUUCAGAGAAAUGUUGUUAUAUAGCAAAAAUAAAACCCAAAUUGAUUAUUUGAAUAAAAACUAUCAACACAUACCAAAGCAAAUGGUAGAAAAUGUAUUUAAAAGUCCUUUUUUGAUUACAGAAAUGGAGCCUUUCCCUCCAAGAGGCAGUCUCUUGAUAUCAGUUGUUUCUAUUGUCUGGGAAUGAUUUCCCAACAUUAAAGUGAUGUUAUAUGAGAUGGUGAAUCUAGCUCUCUCACUCACUCACUCAGACACACACACACACACAAACACACAUACACACACACACACACACACACAAACACACAUACACACACACACACACACACACACACAAACACACACACACACACACACACACACACGAGUUAAAUGCAGAAAACGCUGUGGCUGGAAAACUGAAGGAGUAAAUAUGAGAAUACAGUGGGCAUAUUCAACGAAAGACAGGCCUCGAAAUAACCGAGAGGAAUUGGCUAAAUAUUAGUUGCAUUUGGACAUCAAUAAGUACACGAUGGCCAUAACCUCCUGGCAGCGUGUUCUGCCUUUGGACAGAAGGCGCUCUGGAAAGCAACAAUGUAAGAAACACUGGAAACAUUUUGAGGUCUUUAAGCUUUCAAUGAAUUGGAAUUAUAGGAAUGAAUUGGCAAACUCGGCUCAAGAAAUUUAAUGAAGGAAGUGAGAAGGGAAUCUAUGAGAAAACCCGAGUGAGAUCACAGUGCGGAUGCUGAGGGACGAGGGAGUAGCAGGGAGGGAAAGAUGAGGUAGGAAAUAUAAAGUCCUCAGUGUUAUCAUUUCAGGUUAUCUCUCCUGGGCCCAACACAUACCUCCUAUUACAAAGAAGGCACCGCAGCGCUCUACAUGUCAUCUAAAAUUUUGACAGACUUCAAUAGAUGUGUAGGUGGAGAGUCAUUGACUGAAGGCAUGAGGACCUGGCAUGGAACCACCAGUGCCUUUCUACGGGAAAACUCACAGAAAUUAAUGAAUGGACCCCGUCCUACACAAGUAAAGGCCUCCCCACCGCUGAGCACAUAUAAACGGAAUACAGGGCCCCGACCCUGGAGGUCAUGCUCUCUUCCCACAGCCCCUCUCAAAACUGCUGAUUUCAUGUUAUUGGUUAUUGAUUUAUUAUUAGUAUUUUGUUUGUUCUUUCUUGUUUACUCAGUGUCGUUUGAUUACUCAUUUGUUGUUUUUGUUGAGUGCGGUCUUUCAAAGAUUCUGUUGUGUUUCGUUGUAUUUACUGUGGAUUUUCAUGUGGUUAUGUGUAUAUACUUCGGUAAUAAAUAUAGAUUAAUCUUUCAAGUUUGAACUUUAGGGAGAGGAAUCCAUUGGGCGAGACGUGGAUGUUGUUUCACACCGUUGUGUAGGAGACGAAAAAUUUGAGGCCCGCAGCUUUAUUAUCUGGGACAGGUUUGUGGAAGAAGACGGCACCAAACGGAAAGCUUAUGUAUUGACAUACAAGAAAAGAAUCCGUGGAAUUCAUUGCUGACGAAGCCAAGACAUUUGGUAUAUUAAAAGCGGAUGGCUCUAUAGGUAAAGUAAUUAGAUAUAUUUAAAGCGGACGUAAGUAAGUUAUUAAAUAUUAAGAGUGACACACUUUAUGGGAAGACGGCAGGAGAACAGGAUUAGGAGGGAUAAUAAAUCAGCCACGAUGUAAUGGAGGAUCUGACUCCAGGGGCCGAAUGACAUAAUACUGUUCCUAUGUCUGAUGAUAGAAUGGGGGAACAGACUCCAUUGGCCGAAUGACAUAAUAUUAUUCCUAUGUCUGAUGAUGAUCACCCGACGGAGAAUCUCACCAGGUCCCUCAACACCAGCUCCAUAGCAAAGAAAG